UGACAAGUGAAUGAAUGGAGAGG
RNAcentral lists this microRNA (23 nucleotides) under Ornithorhynchus anatinus (platypus). Its description in RNAcentral is "oan-miR-7426-3p". Lineage: Eukaryota; Metazoa; Chordata; Mammalia; Monotremata; Ornithorhynchidae. The record is from miRBase by way of RNAcentral.